Triticum dicoccoides is the source of this 1737-nucleotide long non-coding RNA. RefSeq lists it as uncharacterized. NCBI's taxonomy places the organism in Eukaryota, Viridiplantae, Streptophyta, Magnoliopsida, Poales, Poaceae. The transcript is spliced from 6 exons. The record is from RefSeq and is a predicted model, not a curated record.
CCCUUCCUGCCCCCACGCGCCGCCACCCUACUGGCCUCGCCUCUUCCCCCCUUUCUCCUCCAGUGUCUCCUCCCCAUCUGCUCCGCUCCACCUCUCCGCAGACGCGCCCAAGUCCGAGCGCGCCAAGUUCGCCGGCCUGCGCAUGCGCCUGCACCGGCACUGCUUCGUCCAGCCCGCGCGGCGCUGUGUCGCCUCCUCCUGCGCCACGCGGGCUCCGCUGCUCAUGAUCGUGCCCCUGCGCAUGCCCCUGCAGCGGCUGCGCGCCCACAAGCCGCCCGCAGCGCUCCCCGCUCGGUCGCCGGCUCCCUCCGUCCGGCUCCGCUUCUGCCCAUGCCCCGGCCGGCUCCGCCUCUGCCUUGUGCAGCAUCGAUGUCCCCGAGUUCUCUUUCUCUGGUGGGGGAGCUGUUGGCCACGAUCUGGAUGAGCCAGAGUUCAGCAACAGGGGAGGGGUGAAUCAACGGCGGCAGCAGAGAGGGUGGAGAGAAUUGCAAGAGCCUAGGCGCCCAUCACCAUGGUUUUCUCGUCGUUCGCGUGCCACCAUCGCGGUCGUUAUUGGAGCUUUGAAAAGGUUCAUGGGUCAGGCAACGCACAUGGGCGUGUCUGCUAAGCAGGCCACUGGGUGGGUGACAAAGUGAUGCAGUCAACGGCAACCGGCGACCUCAGAGCCCCCCCUUCUCCGCCUCGUCACUGUCGCCACCUAGCUUGACCUCGAGCCGAAGAGCGACUCGGCAGGACGCCGGGGGACAGGUGCAGCAGCCAGCCGCGCCUCGCCCCGUGCUCUGCAGGCGCCCGGCGGCCUCGACCCGGCCUCGGCAGGAGGAGCUCGAGCCGACUCGGCAGAAGGAGUAUAGCAGCAGACACGCCCAAACUGAACAGGGACAAGCACAUGCAAUUAUAUGUUGUGGUAGAUUUCAAAAGAGACCCAGGGCCCAGAGUAGUUUUGCAAAAAUGGAGGAUACCAGACUGACCCAUGGAGCAUGAGAUCCUCCUUGUCAUGGGCCACCUUACUUGUAUGGCUUCAGGAUGAGGAGACCCUUCUAAUUAAGAAGAUUUGUGCUGCUGCUAUUGCGUUCUUCAGUUUCUGGUCAUUGGUUCAUCUGCAAAUGUGUGGACCUCCCUCCCUUUUGCUCGAUUGCUCCACCUUGCUCCUUUGGCUGAUUAUAACAGCUAUUUCCGCAGCCCAUGACGCUGGUUGAGAGAUCCAGGCAGCGUCCAGAUUGCUAUUAUCAUCCUCCAUCAACAAAACCAUGGGGUCCUUGUGGGAGCUGCAUACAAAGUUACAAACCCGUGUGGAUGUAUUUGGUUGGUAGCUGCAACAGCCUGCCAAUCGGAUAAGAGAAGCCAAGGGGCCAUCGACAAUGGUGUAGCUUCAGCAUCCUGUCAAUCGGAGGAGAGGCCAAGGAGUCAUCGGCAAGAAGCAACCUUAUACUGGAACUUGAAGUGGAGUAAUGGUUAACAAUGUUUUAUGGAUCAUAUGUUUUCUUUUGUUCACACUUGAGAGCUACAAGCAUUAAGAUGUUAAUAUAAAUUAUGUACCAAAGUUUGCUUUGUCCGUGGUCAUAUCUACUCCCUCCGUUCCAAAAUAGAUGUUAUUAUCCCUAUGAGUUGUCCCCUUUGUUCUAUAGUAGCAUAAUCAGAGCGAGAAAUUUAAAUGUGAUUGAAUUAUGGUGUGGCUCUUACAAAAAUAUGUGAAUGGGAUCAGAAUUGUGUAUAUAUUGUUGAUUUAAUAGUUUGAAA